CCGCACCCCGACGGGUCCCUCUCCUCCUCCCCUUGCAGACGGAGAUCGCCAAGCGGCUGAACGUGAUCUGCGCGCAGCUCAUCCCGUUCCUAUCGCAGGAGCACCAGCAGCAGGUGGUCCAGGCGGUGGAGCGUGCCAAGCAGGUGACUAUGAGCGACCUGAACGCGGCCAUCGGGCACCAGCUCCAAACGCAGCACCUCUCGCACCAUGCGCCCCCCAUCCCGCUGACCCCGCACCCCUCUGGGAUGCAGCCCCCCACCCUGGCUGGGCUGGGCAGCGCCUCGGGGCUGCUGGCGCUCUCGGGGGCGCUGGGGGGGGCCCAGCUGCUCGCCAAGGACGACCGCGGGGUCCACGACGCCGAGCACAGGGAGCGAGACCCGGGUCCUAGCUCCCUGGUGCUGCCCAACGGGGACCGGGCACGAGCCAUCUCCGAGUACCUGAGCAGCAGCAAAAAGAGGAAGGUGGAGGAGAAGGACUUUGUGACGGACUAUGGCAGCGAUGCGGACAAAAGCGAAGACAACCUGGUGGUGGAUGAGGACCCCUCAUCCCCACACAGCGUCCAUUCCUACUCCUCCCGUGAGAACGGGCUGGAGAAGCUGCCCCUGGGACGGAAGGAGCCCGCGCCGCUCAGCCCCACCUCCAUGGCCUCCUCCAGCAGCGCGUCCCCAUCGCGCAGCAAGGAUGCACCCACGGUGGAGAAGGCGGGGACGCCCAGCCUCAAGUCCAGCACCCCCACAUCGCAGGGCGAUGCCGCGGCGCCGGGAUCCAGCGGUGCCCCACAGUUCCGCCCCACCGCUGCCAAAGCCCCCGUGGAUUCCCUGGCCCUGGGCCUGAGGACCCCGCUGGGCGUGCAGAGCCCCUACUCGUUCAGCAUGGCUCACCCCGCUGUCAACGGGGACAUGGCCGGGGCGGGCGCCUACGCCAGCCUGCACCUCGUGUCCCCGCAGCUCAACGGCACCGCGGCCGCCGGCAGCUACGGGCGGUCCCCGCUGGUUGGGUACGACCCGCACCCACACAUGCGCGUGGCGGGGCUGGCGGCCGGCAUGCAAGUGGGGACAUCAGGGAAACCCGCCUACUCCUUCCACGUCAGCGCCGACGGGCAGAUGCAGCCGGUGCCGUUCCCCCCCGACGCCCUCCUGGGCUCCGGCAUCCCCCGGCACGCGCGGCAGCUGCACAGCCUGGCCCACGGCGAGGUGGUCUGCGCCGUCACCAUCAGCAACUCCACGCGCCACGUCUACACCGGGGGCAAGGGCUGCGUGAAGGUGUGGGACGUGGGGCAGCCGGGCACCAAGACGGCCGUGGCACAGCUGGACUGCUUGAACCGCGACAACUACAUCCGCUCCUGCAAGCUGCUCCCCGACGGCCGCAGCCUGAUCGUGGGGGGGGAGGCCAGCACCCUGUCCAUCUGGGACCUGGCGGCCCCCACGCCCCGCAUCAAGGCCGAGCUCACCUCCUCCGCCCCCGCCUGCUACGCCCUGGCCAUCAGCCCCGACGCCAAAGUCUGCUUCUCCUGCUGCAGUGACGGCAACAUCGUGGUGUGGGACCUGCAGAACCAGAGCCUGGUCCGGCAGUUCCAAGGCCACACGGACGGUGCCAGCUGCAUCGACAUCUCCAACGACGGCACCAAGCUGUGGACGGGGGGGCUGGACAACACGGUGCGCUGCUGGGACCUGCGGGAGGGGCGGCAGCUGCAGCAGCACGACUUCAGCUCCCAGAUCUUCUCCCUGGGGCACUGCCCGACGGGCGAGUGGCUGGCGGUGGGCAUGGAGAGCAGCAACGUGGAGAUCCUGCACGUCUCCAAGCCCGACAAGUACCAGCUGCACCUCCACGAGAGCUGCGUCCUCUCCCUCAAGUUCGCCGCCUGCGGGAAGUGGUUUGUGAGCACGGGGAAGGACAACCUGCUCAACGCCUGGCGCACGCCCUACGGAGCCAGCAUCUUCCAGUCCAAGGAGACCUCGUCCGUCCUCAGCUGCGACGUCUCCACCGACGACCAGUUCAUCGUCACCGGCUCCGGGGACAAGAAAGCGACGGUCUACGAAGUCAUUUACUGAAAGUCACGGAGGUGACGGCCACCGCCGGGGUCCGUUCCCCGGGAGCAGACGGACACACGGCCACGGGGACGGACGGACAGACUGCAUGGCAGACGGGCGGCAGCCUGGGGCCGGAGCAGUUGGCGAUGGGGACCCCGCAGAGCUGGGAGGCAGCUGCUGCUCGCAGGGCCCUUCCCGGGCUCUUCCUUCUCGUUUGUAAGGAUUUGAAAACGCCAUUAAAUACAUCUCGUUACUGAUCAUUCACGGCUGGGGCAGCAGCAGAAACUUGGUGCCAUUAAAGCAGUAGCAGUAAACAGGAGCGCGGGGAGCAACGCCAGGCUCUGACCUUCCUGCCACUUGUGGGUCUGUCCCCUUCCCCCACCGCCUCCAGGGGGGACAGACAGACAGACAGACUGACCACCCCCUGCCCUGCAUCCUCCCCCUCCGCGUGGAGGGGGUCUGCAUCCCUCACCCCAUCCGGCCCCCC
Molecule: RNA transcript, 2517 nt
Organism: Numida meleagris (helmeted guineafowl)
Lineage: Eukaryota; Metazoa; Chordata; Aves; Galliformes; Numididae
Gene name: transducin-like enhancer protein 1
Exons: 17
Source: RefSeq, a predicted model, not a curated record